This 2188-nucleotide long non-coding RNA is filed under the name Homo sapiens (human). RNAcentral's name for it is "HSALNT0084338". Lineage: Eukaryota; Metazoa; Chordata; Mammalia; Primates; Hominidae. The record is from RNAcentral.
CUCUUUGCUUUGUUUUGAAUGAUCCCUUUCUGGAUUAUUCUGCUGGUUAGCAAUUUCAUCACUCACUCCCCAUACCGAGUUGCCUACGCAUAUUGGGUUAAACCAGAGAAAAGUGUUUUCUAUGGAAGUUAAAAAAAAAACGUAAAUAAUAGCACUUUGAUCUCAUUUAACCUAUUUCUAUGAUACCUAAGUUAUCCCAUCAAAGUGGAAAACAUUUCAUUUUUCUGAUUAGAAAUUCUGGUUAACUGGUUGCCCCACAUGGGUAGUGGUGCCAGGCAGAGCUACAAGGACCCUGAGCAAUACUUUCACAUGAGCAGGAAUUGGUUGAUUUUUACUUCAGUAUUUUUCGAAUAUUGCUUUCUCACUAAUCUAAGCUAUCAACUUGGAGGAUCAGGUUAGAGUAUUGACAUUGAAAUAAGCUUCAUAUAUAUAAAAAAGAACAGUUUCCUCCUGGAUUCAAUUUAAAGGAAUAAGCAAGAAAAGAAAAAAAUAGAUAACUCUCACAAAAUUUAAUAAAUUGAUUGGAUUUGUGAGAUAUUUUUAAAUAAAAUUUAAUUCAAAAUGUUGAAACUACAGAUGACUGGAAAUAAUGUAAAAAUAGAAAUCCAAUUUUAAAAUACAUAUUUCAUGUUGGAGUAGAAGAAACGUGCAUCUCAACUUAUUCCUAAAGUUCUCAAAGUAGAAGAAUAAAAUAAAAUGUAAUCUAGAAAUAAAAGUAGAAACCUUUCAGCAGCUCUUGGGCAAUGAUUAGUAAAUGGGUCAAGUAAUUACUAUUUAAUGUAAUUGUCAUUUUCUUUGUAAUAGUUUAUUGCCUUUAACCUUGGUUUAAGAAAUGAGAUUCUGUUGGUAUGAAAGUAAUGAUAUGAGUAUUCCUCAGGCAGGUAGUUGGAUGCACAUAUCUGAAAUUCAAGAGAGUGGAUAUGGGAGUCCUCCAUUCACAGAUGAUGAGUCUGGAUGAGAACUUAGAGUGAGAAGAACCAAGUGCAAGAAUUGAGUUCCUGAGCUCAGAAUUCAGGGAAAAAAGAGAAACCAGUAAUGAAUUCAUGAGUGCCCAAUGAGACAAGAGGAAAACUAGGAGAGCUCAGUGUAGGGAAGCCAGGAGCAGGAAUAUGUCUAGGAAGAGGCAGAAAUCAACCCCAUUAAUGCUGCCAAAAAAGGCAGCUACAUAGAGAAUUGCCCAUUGGAUCUAACUAUGCCAAGGUCACUGGGGACCUUAACAAGGGCAGCUUUUGUGGAGUCAUGAGGCUGAGACAAGGUGAGACAGUAGUGAGUCUGAGAGAAGUGGAGAAUGGAGAAUAAGCUUUUUUAUUUUUUUUAUUUUUUUAAGUUUUGCUGCAAAGAAUAAUGGUGGUGGCUUGAAUCCUAACAUUUCAACUCAAACCAAGAGCAAAAUGAGGACCACUUAUCUAAAUAUUUAAAAUGUAAGUGAAACUAACAAAUUGUUUCAGAAAAGAUGCUCUAUCUUCAUACCUUGGGAAAACAUACUUUUGAUGUAAGAUGUUUCCACAGGAAGAAAGUGGCAGAAAAGUAUCUGGGAUCUCUCUGAAGAUUUUCUUACAACUGCGUGUAAAUCUACAAUUGUCUCAAAAUGUACCUCAAAAAUUAUCAUUACAAUUAUCUCAAAAGUUAAAAACUGUUACCUUUGUUAAUAACCUGGAAGUACAGGCUUGAGUUUAGACAUUAGAAUUCCUCAGAGUUCUGCUUCAGAACCCGGAGAAAGGACUAUCUGUAGAAUUUUCAGGGCCCAGUGAAAUGAAAAUAUGGGGCCCCUGGUUCAAAAAUGAUGAAGAAUUUCAAGAUGUUAACAGCCAGACAUUAAACCAAAUGUGGAGACCAUGUGAACCCAAGACCCCGUCUGACUGCACAGGAUGCAUGGUCUCCUUCUAGCAGGUGUUUGCACUUGUGUGGUUUGAACUUCUCCCUGGCACCAUCAUCUUGCCCGCCUGAAAAAGUGGCAGUGCCACGCAGAAGAGAUGGUUGUUUUGGUUGAUGCUAAGCCAGGUGCUAGGCCAACUGGAUAUCCAUGAGAAAAAAUGAUUCUGACCCCAACUUCACACUAAACACAAAAAUCAAUGACAGAUGGAGUGCAGACCCUAUAACUCCUGUAGACCUUCUAGCUGCUAACGCACAGAAUACUUCAUUUUCGACACAUUCUGCCCCAGUUUAUCUUGCAUCUGAAUUUCCUUAU